GAGUCCACCUCAGUGUCCCAAGCUCAAAUCAUGCUCAGAACAUGUUCAGACCAGUUCUAAGUCUGUUUGGCCUUCUGGAUCUGUGGUCCAGAAUACUUGCAGAAUUUUCCUUAUUUCUAGCCUUUUGUGCCAUAUGUGGGAUAAUUCGCUGAAUAUCAUCCGUGCCAUGGAUAACUCAUACAAAGGCACAAACCCAAGCCAUGUGAAUGGCCUAUUUGAAAACUUUUUUUUUUACUGAGGCAACUGGGACAGUAGCUGUUGAAUGAACUCCUCUUCUACCAACGCCAGAAUCCAGUGACGUUUCACCAGUAUGAAGAUGGGAACCACAUGCUAUACUUAUAGACUACAGAUAAACUUCAUAUCCUUCUUAUUUUUAUUGUUAACAUUACUGUUUUGAUUCUAUCAUUCACUCCUAUUUGCUGAGCAUCUAUUAUGGGCUUAGUAUUUUGCAGCUAUAAUGAGAAGAGGAAUUAUUUUUUAAAAAAAUGACUAUAGCACUCUCACAUUGUAGAGGGACAGGAUUCAUAUUUAGAUAUCUAGGUGAAUUUUUCAUUUCUGCAAAGAUGGACUCCAGAACCUAGUGUGAAAUGGGAAUAUUGAGUAUGCUAUGUAAUCAACUGGUGUAGUGCUGUCAUGAUAUAUAUGAUACCUGUCCUCGCUUUGGCAGGCAAGACUCUUGCCACCAAGCAUUUCAGACUAGGAUAAUGGCACUCUCCUCCAUCAUCAAAACCCUCAGUAAAAUCUGCUGUGUACAACAACUUUCCUAUUGUCUUUAGGGAAUGAAGGAGAAUGGAGCUAGAUCUGUAACAGGAGCUACAGAAAACAAGAUGGCAAACAAGGUCCCAGCAGAACCCAGAGUCGAAAACAAGAGAACCAGGCGAAUGUGAGCACCCACCAGACCCACCCACAGAGAAUCCUAGCGACUGAAGUCAUUUUAUGUUUGCCUUCAACUUGAGAUAAGUCCCAGAAAAUUGGAGGAUGUGGAGACCAGGAUGCCUCAUUGCACAACUCCAGGAGGCACAUUACAGUAGGUGUGCAAGAGGGCAUGACACUCAAGUUACAAACACAUCAUUUCAUUUAAUCUUCACAACACUCCUGGAAAAAAGGCAUUAUUAUCCUUGUCUUACAGAUAAAGAAACUGAGACUCCAAGAA
This is a long non-coding RNA of Homo sapiens (human), 1153 nucleotides long. Ensembl annotates it as long intergenic non-protein coding RNA 1650. Lineage: Eukaryota; Metazoa; Chordata; Mammalia; Primates; Hominidae. The record is from Ensembl.